CCUGAGUGUAUUCAGUCUGUGUGCUCCUCUUGUCUCUUUGUCAGAUUGUCUUCAUCACUCUUUGUCAAGCGUUCCAGCCUUUUUCCUAGUGUUGUUCUUCCAGUGUACUCAGCCAGUGUACUUUUGACUCUUCUCAGUGCUUUUUGGACUUUGGACUUUUUUCCUGGACCUUGCCUGUUUUCUGGAUUUUGAUUCUUGCCUGCUCCGUCAGAUUUGUUUGCCUUUCUUUGGACUGCUUCGCUGGUUUUGAUCUCUGCCUGCCUCACCACACUGGCCGGAGUCGCCAUUUUCACCACCAGCAGCUUCAUUAGCCCAGCCUGAGCCACCGAAAGAAUAAGCAAUUAUGUGGAACACAGUGUCUCCUACUUCACUGAAAAGUCAAUUUUCAGUAUGAGUGCGACGUGGAAACUUGAAGGCUCCAGUGCACAGUGUGAAUUGCAGAUUUAAUGAACACAAAGUUGAAGUGGAUCGAUGGGAACCAAAGUACUUUUUAAUCGUCCUGACCAUCCAAUCCAAACUGCCCCAAAUCUCCCUCACCCAUCUCCCUGCUGCUCCGCCUGAUCAGGCCUGACAACAGCAUUCACUAUUCAUUAGGAGAAGUUAGCGGGGAACCUGGACCACUGUAAGCCUCGGGCACAGGUGGGGAUGGAAAGGACAUGCAGGACUUCAACAAGCAACAGCCAGGACACACACAAGUUCAGGACGUUUCAAUGAGAGGAAUGCUCUCCUUUUCAGAUAUGCUCUGUUCACGCUCACGUUCAUGCCUUGCUCAAGGGCAACUCAGUAGUGGUAAUGAGGGAGAGUCAGUACUGCUUUCUGGAUGUAAAAUAGAGUUUGAGAGAGGAGUUCAAUACCUGCUUCCUUUCACACACCUGGGCAGCCACUGCAUGAAGUGGGUGUUCUUGUUGGAUUGUUGAUUGCGGAAAGUUAAAAACUGUCAGAUGCAUGUCUGUACUUUAACAUAAGUAGAUUUAGAAUGCUGCAUUUAAACCUGUGUGUGUGUUUGUGUUUUUAAAUAUUGCAGUAUUGCUUAUUUACACCAAUAAAUGCUGUCAGUACUUCUCUUCCUCACUCGUUAAACUGGUAGCACUUUGCUUGUUUCUGACGGAACAUCAGCUGAUAGAAGUAAGAAUGUAGGCUUACGGCAAAAUUGUAUAAAGACUUCAGAGAACAAUGAAACAAAGAUCUCACUCUGUUCAACAGCAAAUCACGUGUCACAAAUGUAUGUUA
Molecule: long non-coding RNA, 1230 nt
Organism: Siniperca chuatsi (mandarin fish)
Lineage: Eukaryota; Metazoa; Chordata; Actinopteri; Centrarchiformes; Sinipercidae
Exons: 5
Source: RefSeq, a predicted model, not a curated record